RNAcentral lists this transfer RNA (91 nucleotides) under Planctomycetota bacterium. RNAcentral's name for it is "Planctomycetes bacterium (groundwater metagenome) tRNA-Ile". It matches the Rfam family "tRNA". Rfam says of the family: Transfer RNA (tRNA) molecules are approximately 80 nucleotides in length. Their secondary structure includes four short double-helical elements and three loops (D, anti-codon, and T loops). Lineage: Bacteria; Pseudomonadati; Planctomycetota. RNAcentral also lists the same sequence under 1 other name. The record is from RNAcentral.
GGAGCGGUGGCCGAGUGGCUGAUGGCACCAGCCUGAUAAGCUGGAAAUCGUUCUAACAAAUGAUUCAUGGGUUCGAAUCCCAUCCGCUCCG